ACUGGAAAGUGCCUCUAGAAUUAAU
Molecule: ribosomal RNA, 25 nt
Filed under: Ilyoplax pacifica
Lineage: Eukaryota; Metazoa; Arthropoda; Malacostraca; Decapoda; Dotillidae
Description: partial 12S ribosomal RNA
Source: RNAcentral